UUCAAAUAUAUCUUGUUUACCGUUGGGGUUUCAUGGCGUAGUGACAGUCUUGGGAACCCAGUGUGUGUGGGAUGCCAGCGGUCAUAUCCCAUACAAAAUACAAUAAAUAAAUAACGCCAUGAAAAUAAUUGACAUCAUAAUUCUUUAAUAUAUACUGGCGUGAACAUAAGGUGGUUAAAUAGAGCAACUUUACAAAAAUGAUGGGGAAGAUGGGGAAAUAGACCAACUUUAAAAAAAAGAAAAAGGGCCCUCGUGGCCCAGUGGGUAGAGUGAUGCACUUUGAGUUUGGCGUGAGGGAAGUGAGGGGCGCGUAGGUUCGAACCCCCCUCUCGGAACUCACAAAAACCUUGAAAGAGCAUCCCUCCAUCACCAUGUGUGAUGGAACUGCCCACGGGGAGGAGGGGAGGUGAGUGCGCAGCACCUCCCUACCCCUCCCCAGGGGAGGAAGGCACCGCCUUACCGGCCCCCGGGAGAGCAAGGGAGGUGAGUGCACAGCGCUUCCCUUCUCUCCCCUACCUAACCCUGGGAAGUCUACGGACUACCAGGCAAAAAAUAAUAAAAAUAAAAAAAUAAAUAAAAACACAAAAGAAAAAAAUAAAUAAAGGUGAGUGCAUAGCACUUCCCUUCUCUUCCAACCAACCAGGCAAAAAACAGAAAAAAAUAAAUAAAUAAAGAAUUAAGGUGAGUGCAUAGCACUUCCCUUGUCUCUUAACUUACCACGCAAAAAAAAAAAAAUAAUAAAUAAAAAUAAAUAAAUAAAUAGAUAAAAAUAAAUAAAAACCUCCUUACCAUCUCGGACCUCGGGAGAGCAAGGGAGGUGAGUGCACAGCACUUCCCUUCUCUCCCCAAGUCUACGGACUGCCAGACAAAAAAAAAAAAUAUAUAUAUAUAGGUAUAAAAAAAAAAAAUAAUAAUAAUAAAUUAAGUAAAAAAAAUAAGUAAAUAAAACAAAAAACAAUAAAACUCCUAGUCGCACGUCAAUAAAACUGACUGAGUCUGGUAAUCAACAAUAAAUAAUAAAAAUAAAACAAUACCAACUGACUGACCCUGACAACCCCAAAGACCACCACCCCACCUGGGAAGCACGGGAGGUGAGUGUGCAGCACCUCCCUACCCUUCCCAGUCUCCCAGCUUGACUUUGACCACCAAUCUGACUCAUCCUACCAACUCCAAAGAGCAACUCCAACUGUACAGACCACCACCACCACCACCCUUCUGAUCUCGGCAAGGUGAGUGCGUAGCACUUCCCUGGACUGACCCUGACUGACUGACCCUGGCAACUCCAAAAACAACCAACCUGACUGACUUACAGAUAUGUAAUCACCUAACUGACUGGCCCUGGGGAGCAUGGGAGGUGAGUGUGCAGCACCUCCCUACCCUUCCCAGUCUCCCAGUUUGGCUUUGACCACCAAUGUGACUCAUCCUACCACUCCAAAUGUACAGACCACCACCACCACCCUUCUGAUCUUGGCAAGGUGAGUGCCUAGCACUUCCCUUGACUGACUGGGCCUGACUGACUGACCCCGGCAACUCCAAAAACAACCAAUCUGACAAAUGUUACAAAUGUAACCUGGGGAGCAUGGGAGGUGAGUGUGCAGCACCUCCCUACCCUUCCCUACCCUUCCUAAAAUAAAUAAAAAAAUAAAUAAAUAAAUAAAAACAAAAAUAAAUAAAGUAAAAACAAUAAAACUCUUACUUCCCCCUCAAUAAACUGACUGAGUCUGGCAAUCAACAAUAAAUAAUAAAAAUAAAACAA
Molecule: long non-coding RNA, 1756 nt
Organism: Scylla paramamosain (green mud crab)
Lineage: Eukaryota; Metazoa; Arthropoda; Malacostraca; Decapoda; Portunidae
Exons: 2
Source: RefSeq, a predicted model, not a curated record